GAUGAACGCUGGCGGCGUGCCUAAUACAUGCAAGUCGAGCGAACGGACGAGAAGCUUGCUUCUCUGAUGUUAGCGGCGGACGGGUGAGUAACACGUGGAUAACCUACCUAUAAGACUGGGAUAACUUCGGGAAACCGUAGCUAAUACCGGAUAAUAUUUUGAACCGCAUGGUUCAAAAGUGAAAGACGGUCUUGCUGUCACUUAUAGAUGGAUCCGCGCUGCAUUAGCUAGUUGGUAAGGUAACGGCAUACCAAGGCAACGAUGCAUAGCCGACCUGAGAGGGUGAUCGGCCACACUGGAAGUGAGACAGGCUCCAGACUCCUACAGGAGGCAGCAGUAGGGAAUCUUCCGCAAGGGGGGAAAGCCUGACGGAGCAACGCCGCGUGAGGGAUGAAGGUCUUCGGAUCGUAAAACUCUGUUAUUAGGGAAGAACAUAUGUGUAAGUAGCUGUGCACAUCUUGACGGUACCUAAUCAGAAAGCCACGGCUAACUACGUG
Molecule: ribosomal RNA, 497 nt
Filed under: uncultured bacterium
Lineage: Bacteria
Description: partial 16S ribosomal RNA
Rfam family: Bacterial small subunit ribosomal RNA
Source: RNAcentral